Long non-coding RNA from Hemibagrus wyckioides, 5460 nucleotides. RefSeq lists it as uncharacterized. The transcript is spliced from 5 exons. NCBI's taxonomy places the organism in Eukaryota, Metazoa, Chordata, Actinopteri, Siluriformes, Bagridae. The record is from RefSeq and is a predicted model, not a curated record.
CUUCAUGCUGACUGUCAUUUAUUUCUAUUAAAUAUGAUGCUUAAAUGAUAAAAAAGGAAGGCGUAUCAUUUCUCUCAUGUAUACCAUUUCCUGUCUCAGGAAGCAUCCAAAGAAAAGAAGUAUUCAUAUUUUCCAGAUAAAUAGAUUCUUUUCUCUUUUUUUUCAAGAAACAAACUAACAAAAAAUUCAUAGAAACUCAUUUGACAGAGCAAGAAAGCUGUGAUAUCUCUAUCCAGUGCAGCCAAGAGAAAUUUAGAUAGAGAUAGAUGCUGACCUAACCAGCCGGAACAUUCCGCACAGCCUUGAUGACAUACCUGCCUUUUAUCAUGACAGCAAACAGCAGUUUCUCGAGGCUAGGCUCUCCUGGGGCCGGGCACAAAUCAGCCUUGACGUGAUCAGCCCAUGAUCUUUCUAGAAGUACAGUGCUGACAUCCUCACAAGAGCGUCCACUAGCUUGCAGAGGAGAAUAGUUUUUGAAUGUUGCUUCUGGGCAUGCUGUAGGCCAUGGACAGGUAAAGCAGAGGGCCGGAUGACACUCUGGAGUCCUUCUGGCAGAUGUCACAGAGACAGUGUGAUGGCUAGAGAUGCACAGAAGAAACACAUGAGCUGUGAAACAACACCAUGUUCAAGUGUACAGCCGAGGAGCGUAAACAUGCCAGAUGAUUAUUUUUGCUCCUUUAGGGUUUGUCUGUGGCUGUAAUGCAACAGUACUGUCUGUAUUUGUAUUUGUGUAACUGCUCCAAAAAUUCAUAUCUGUAUCUGCAUUUAGAUUUUAACCAGAAGUGGGCGUGGCCUGACUUGAAACGCUAUCAGAAUGGUGUCUCUUGGUGUGUCGUCUCACUCAGAUUUCAGAGUCUUCGCUCGAGUUCAGAACCUGAGAUGUGCACAGGACUGUUUUUAAUCCUUCUCACUGUUCUAUUUUGGUUUGUAGCUCCCCAAAAUAUUUUUUAACAAAUUUAGUUUCCCAAAAUAAAAACAAACUGGUAGCCGAAUUUAAACCACCAUGACCAUGACCAGGCAGAUACUACUCUACAAAUAAUAAAAAUAUCUACAUAGUAUUUAUAUCUAUAUAUUUCCUCUUAUUAUCAUAAAAUAAACCAAAUCUUUAUAAUAAUAUUAAACAUUAUAUUUAGCUUAAUAGAAUCUAAAACAUGCUGCCUAACCUUAUAUUUGUUUUGUAAUAACAUCAAAAAAGUGAAAAAUACUAUAAAUCUGCCUAUAUUGAAGAUAUUUUCACUUCCUAACGUAUUUUUUUGCAGUGUAAGGACCUCUGUGGUCUUUGUUUGAGCCUGAUACAUGACCUCUAGCUGUAUGCUUAUUCAACCGUCCAUCUGUGGUUUCAACCAUGUGAAACUUUCUGAGGAAAAAAAAAUAAUAGAUCAUCUUCUAUUUAUAUUCGUAUCUGUUUAGAACAUAUCUAUUUCAAUUUGAAUAACGUAUUUUUUCUGUAUCCCUAAACUAUAUCGUAAGUUCCUCCUAAUAAUGAAUGAGAUCCAAAUCGUUGCAUGCUGUAGGUGUAAGUGAUAACACAAUCUAACUGACUACAUUUUAUCUAAAAGAAGAAGAAGAAGAAGAAAAACCGCCUCAGUCCACACCAGUUUUUUUUUUUUUUAAAUGAGAUACGUACCCUUCUUCACUUUUAAAGGACAUUGCACUUGUCUAAAUGAAUGCUUCCUGCUCAUGCAGGAAGUAAAAUACAGCAAUUAGCAUGCUGCCUCUCCACAUGUCUCUUAGCUAAAGAUAAGACGUGCUGGCAGCACAGCAGGCCUCUAAUUCCCUCAUUCACUUGUCUCUGGUCUCACUGAUUAUGGAUCUAUCCUGUAACUUAACCUGCAUCUUUCUCCCAGCAAGACAGCCGUCCAAUGAACAGCCCUUCCUCCACACAUCUCUUCUUCCUUUCUUUCUUCCUAAACAACUUCCUUUCAGCUGCUCGUCUUUGAAUGUGGCUACGCUUCACAUCUGGCAAAAACAAUCCCGAGCGGCUUAAACAAGAACAACAAGAAGCAGCACGAUGCUCUUGAAAUGAUAUGAAGCUAUGAGCGUAGACGGUCACGAAUAUCUGCUAGAGAGACAUGGCUGGAGCUUGAAGGAGGAGGCUGAGGUGGAAAUCAUAGCAUGGCCCAAGGCGAGCAACACCACAACACACGGAAACAUUUUGCCCCCUGAUCUCUGCACUCUCAGAAAGAGUGGUGGGACGCUCCAGGGCAAGGACGGCUCAGCAGGAGGAAAAGGUUCAAAAAGAGAAGCGAAGAAAAAAAAUACAAACCAAACAUUGUGUUCCUAAUCAGGAAGUCUCUCUGAAGAAAUGUUCACCGAUUUUAAGAGCAUUCCGGAAAUAAAUGAUACACAGAAAGAAAGCAGAAGAAAUCGUUCUGAAGAGAUCCCCACUGGUGGAGUACCACAUUCCUGACUGCUCACCCCAUCACACAUCAGCAACCACCCGAAGAAGAUGAAGGCUUUCUCUGAGACACCUGAAACCAGGCAGCUGCAUCUUUUCAAACUUCUGCUCUUGUUGUAUCACACGGCAGCAUAACAACCUCGGAGCAAAGCACUAUCUGCCCCUUUCCCUAUACAUGACUUCACAGCCUAAAGAGAAUAAAUGCAUCCAAAAUCGGAUUCUUGUAUACUGCUCUGUGCCAGUUUAUAGUAUAAAUAGUGUGAUUAGUUUGUUCACACUGAAAAUUCCAACAAGAAGAAGUGCACUUCAUGAUGGAAGUGUGGAAUGUUGAACACUUCAUGCACUCAAUGCUCACAGCUUUGCUUGCAUAGUGGAAGAGGGGCGGGGCUACCAAGCACUGAUGCUGGAUGAGAACAAAUUUUCGAGAUGGCUGAGGACACUCUGGUGUACAAGACGUCUUACAAAUGCCUUUUAAAUUAGCUCACACUGUCUGAUUGAAUUUUCAACAAUAUUCUGUAUUCUGCUAAAGCUUAUAGUAUCACAUUAUGUGCAUUUGAUGUCACUGGCCAUUGACUGUGAAACAGCUUAGUAAAUAUGUUUGAGUGCUCCAUUUGAAAGUAUAUUUCCCUUUUAAAAUUUAGAAAACUAGACACAAGUGUAUAGUGUAAGUGCAUAGUCUAUCGUGUAGUCAGUUGGGACACAGCUUAUGGCAUCCCUCCCACCCAGACAGCUCAACCAUGGAGCCUGCUACUAGGCCUGUGGUAAGAUUUAAAUUUGUGCCAAGAAAAUGUACUUAGGCAAAAACUAAAUGUUUACUUACAGCUUCUUCACAUUUACAUUUACAGCAUUUGGCAGACGCCCCUAUCCAGAGUGACUUACAUUUAUCUCAUUUUUUUAUACAAUUGAGCAGUUAAAAAAUUAAGGGUUAAGCUCAGCGGCAGCUUGGUGGUCCUAAGGUUUGAACUCACAACCAUCCAACUGAUUAACCACCAUUAUUGGGGACAAUGGUGAUUACUGAUUGUUGGGGACAAUGGUGAUUAGUUAUUUUAGGGACAGUGGUGAUUAGCUAUUAUUGGGGACAAUGGUGAUUACUGAUUGUUGGGGACAAUGGUGAUUAGUUAUUUUAGGGACAGUGGUGAUUAGCUAUUAUUGGGGACAAUGGUAAUUAGUUAUUUUGGGGGGACAAUGGUGAUUAGCUAUUAUUGGGGACAAUGGUGAUUAGUUAUUAUUGGGGACAAUGGUGAUUAGCUAUUAUUGGGGACAAUGGUGAUUAGUUAUUAUUGGGGACAAUGGUGAUUAGCUAUUAUUGGGGACAAAGGUGAUUAGUUAUUUUUAGGGACAAUGGUGAUUAGUUAUUUUGGGGACAAAGGUGAUUAGUGAUUUUGGGGGACAAAGGUGAUUAGUGAUUGUUGGAGACAUUAGUGAUUAGUGAUUUUGGGGACAAUGGUGAUUAGUGAUUGUUGGGGACAAAUGUGUUUAGUUGUUGGGGACAAUGGUGAUUAGUGAUUAUUGGGGACAAAGGUGUUUAGUGAUUGUUUGGGACAAUGGUGAUUAGUUACUGUUGGGGCAAUGGUGAUUAGUUAUUGUUAGAGACAAUGGUAAUUAGAUGGUUUUAGGUUUAAUUGUGAUUAGUUAUUGUUAGAGACAAUUGUAAUUAGAUGGUUUUAGGUUUAAUUGUGAUUAGUUAGUAUUAGGGACAAUGGUGAUUAGCUAUUUUUAGGGACAAUGGUGAUUAGUCAUUUUUGGGGACAAUGGUGAUUAGUUAUUCUUAGGGAGAAUGGUGAUUAUUUAUUAUUGGAGACAAUGGUGAUUAGCUAUUAUUGGGAACAAUGGUGAUUAGUUAUUUUAGGAACAAUGGUGAUUAGCUAUUAUUGGGAACAAUGGUGAUUAGUUAUUUUGGGGGGGACAAUGGUGAUUAGCUAUUAUUGGGGACAAUUGUGAUUAGUUAUUAUUGGGGACAAUGGUGAUUAGCUAUUAUUUGGGACAAUGGUGAUUAGCUAUUAUUGGGGACAAUGGUGAUUAGUUAUUAUUGGCGACAAUGGUGAUUAGCUAUUAUUGGGGACAAAUGUGAUUAGUUAUUUUUAGGGACAAAGGUGAUUAGUUAUUGUUGGGGACAAUGGUGAUUAGUGAUUGUUGGGGACAAUGGUCAUUAGUGAUUGUUGGGGACAGGGGUGAUCAGUGAUUGUUGGGGACAGGGGUGAUUAGUGAUUUAUUCACAUUGUAUUUGAACUGUAUUUUAUAUUUUAAGAAAGAUUUAGAAUAUGGAGAUAUUUUUAUUUGUAUAUUGAAGCUGAAACAAGACAGAACUCAGAAUCUAUUUUUUCCUCACCUACUAUGUAAUCAGAUCAUGAUGCCAAAUUUAUUCACACAUGCUAUGGAGGAAAUUAUAAAUAUUUACCGUGUGCAUGCAAAAACCCAAGGUGUACCAAGUGGUUUUGACAAUCAUUUCGACGAUGUAUAUUUGGUUUUUCCGUGAAUGAAGUGUAUUUUUGCAUCUCGCUGAAUUUUCUGAACAUUUUUUGAUUUGUUUAUCUGCUACACAGUGGGUUUAGAUCCAGCCCCAAGGUAAGAAACUGGGAGCUCUGGUGUGAUACAACUGGAAAUACAUGACAUACUCAAAUACCUCAAAGAAUAUUACACUGGGACAAUUUUCAGACGGGUAAAGGCACUAAGUUGAACGAGUUUCCAAUGAGAUUUUCUUUCCCCCGUUCUAUCUUAAUAUGGAGCAACCGUUGUGCAAGGAGAGAGAGAGAGAGAGAGAGAGAGGGAGGAAGGAAAAAAAGGCUUUCAGACAUGUCUCGCAGCCAUAUAGAUGGGUUCAGCAUAUAAAAGUUAACAUAGCAUAUAAUUCCACCACUCCCCUCUCCUCUCCUUCCCUGCGGGUGUGUGGAGAAAAUAAGCAUAUUAUCAAAUUCAGCAUAAUUUCAUGUAUGCGUGAAAUGGCCACCUCUUCUGGGAACACGGGGCCUAAUGAUGAGUGGCAGCCUUUUUGGCUUCUGUGGCACGGACGAGGACCCAACCAAAGGAGCACGACACACACCAGCCCCAGAUGCUACUAACAU